RNAcentral lists this transfer-messenger RNA (352 nucleotides) under Acidimicrobiales bacterium. It matches the Rfam family "transfer-messenger RNA". Rfam says of the family: Bacterial tmRNA, also known as 10Sa RNA or SsrA, is named for its dual tRNA and mRNA-like properties. Its role is to liberate the mRNA from a stalled ribosome. The record is from RNAcentral. Lineage: Bacteria; Bacillati; Actinomycetota; Acidimicrobiia; Acidimicrobiales.
GGGGGUGACAGGCUUCGACUCCGGUCGUCGAAGUGGGAGAAGCGAGCCGUGGUCUCCGGAGCCACGUUAAAGAGCCGGAAACCAAAACAAACGCCGAGCCUCAGCUCGCGAUCGCUGCCUAAGUAGCAGCGACGUCCGACCGGUCCUGGUCCCGCGGAUCGGAUCCGGGCGUCAUGAAGUGGGACUUACCUGGAACGUCGUGCCGACCGGCCUCUAGGGACAUUUUCGUCGGAUACGGACGGCUGUUCUCGCCGGUCGCGGCAGCCGUCCCGACAACCUUUGACUGGCUGCGCUCGGAGAAGGCCCACGGAGAAGCCGGAGGACGCGGGUUCGAUUCCCGCCACCUCCACUU